RNAcentral lists this long non-coding RNA (680 nucleotides) under Solanum tuberosum (potato). Its description in RNAcentral is "long non-coding RNA (STUB_LNC008198)". Lineage: Eukaryota; Viridiplantae; Streptophyta; Magnoliopsida; Solanales; Solanaceae. The record is from RNAcentral.
UCCUUGGUCCUCUGUUAAUGAAUUUUACCUUAUCUUAUUAAAGAGAAUGAACUGUGUCGUGUGACCUCAAUUAUGCCCAUUAGUGAACUAACCAAGCUGCUUUCUUCAUUUCUUUUGCUGCUUUGAUAGUCCAUGUUUUCACUCCUUCUCUUCAUCCUACACCAUCUAUAUAGCUUCUCCUCUCUUCUUGUUAAAGUUACUCCUUUUCAUCUAAGUUUUUUCUGUUUCUUUUCUCCCCUAUACUUCACUAGAAACCUUUUACCAUCACCAGUAUCAACUGGUGACUUCAUGGGUAAUGAUCAUAUCUCCUAUGCACAUCAAUGAUUUAGAUUGUAAGUAUCAUUCUUGUGUUGCUAUUCCAACCAAUUCUUGAACAGUAGCCUUAUCAUGUGAUCCAACACAAUCCUGUACUUAAAUAUUGUAUCCAAUUGCACGACUGCAAGUGGCUUAUAAAACUACAAAAUUUUAGUAAUCAUAUAUGAUGACUCCCCCCACCCCCCCCCCCCCCCCCCCCCCCCCACAAAAACAAAACCCCCCCCCCCCCCCCCCCCCCCCCCCCCCCCCCCCCCCCCCCCCCCCCCCCCCCCCCCCCCCCCCCCCCCCCCCCCCCCCCCCCCCCCCCCCCCCCCCCCCCCCCCCCCCCCCCCCCCCCCCCCCCCCCCCCCCCCCCCCCCCCCCCC